UUUAUUAAGAGUUUGAUCCUGGCUCAGGAUGAACGCUGGCGGCGUGCCUAAGACAUGCAAGUCGAGUGGGUUUAGACCCACGGCGAACGGGUGAGUAAUACUCAGGAACUUUUUUCAAGUCGGGCAUAACCAGCCGAAAGGUUGGAUAAUUCCCGAUACGUCGUAAGACGAAAGUAGCAAUACGCUUGAAGUGAGGCCUGGGCACCAUCAGCUAGUUGGUAGGGUAAUGGCCUACCAAGGCUAUGACGGUUAGCGGCCCCGAGAGGGGGAACCGCCACACUGGAACUGCGACACGGUCCAGACUCCUACGGGAGGCAGCAGUUUGGAAUAUUGGACAAUGGGCGAAAGCCUGAUCCAGCGACGCCGCGUGGACGAUGAAGGCCUUCGGGUUGUAAAGUCCUUUUGGCAGGGAAAAAUCUUUGAUUGUACCUGCAGAAUAAGAGGUUGCUAACUCUGUGCCAGCAGCAGCGGUAAUACAGAGACCUCAAGCGUUAUCCGGAAUCAUUGGGCGUAAAGCGUACCGAUAGGUGGUUUAGAAAGUCAGAAGUGAAAUCUUAAGGCUUAACCUUGAGACUGUCUUUUGAAACUUCUAAACUAGAGGGGCAAAGAGGAAGCUGGAACGAACGGUGUAGUAGUGAAAUGCGUUGAUAUCGUUCGGAACACCAAUAGCGUAGGCAGGCUUCUGGGUGCCACCUGACACUGCUAGGACGAAAGCGUGGGGAGCGAUAAGGAUUAGAUACCCUUGUAGUCCACGCUGUAAACGAUGUACGUUCGGUGCUAGAGAGUAUCGACCCUCUUUGGUACCUAAGCUAACGCGUUAAACGUACCGCCUGGGGAGUACGGCCGCAAGGCUAAAACUCAAAGGAAUUGACGGGGACCCGCACAAGCGGUGGAGCAUGUGGUUUAAUUCGACGGUAAGCGAGGAACCUUACCAGGGCUUGACAUGUAGCUGCAUAUACCAGAGAUGGUAUAGCCUUCGAGGGUGCUACACAGGUGCUGCACGGUUGUCGUCAGCUCGUGCCGUGAGGUGUUCACUUAAGUGUGAAAACGAGCGCAACCCCUACGGUGAGUUACAAGUGUCUCACAGAACUGCCGGCGUCUAAGCCGGAGGAAGGUGGGGAUGACGUCAAAUCAGCGUGGCUCUUACGCCCUGGGCGACACACGUGCUACAAUGGGAAUCUACAAAGGGACGCCAAAGCGCAAGCUGGAGCAAAUCCUUUAAAACUUCUCUCAGUUCGGAUUGGGGGCUGCAACUCGCCCCCAUGAAGCUGGAAUCGCUAGUAACCGUGGAUCAGCCUCGCCACGGUGAAUACGUUCUCGGGUUUUGUACACACCGCCCGUCAAGCGAUGGGAGCCGGGGGUAUCUGAAAUCUACUUUGUGGAUGAGGGUAAAACCGGUGACUGGCGCUAAGUCGUAACAAGGCAUCGGUAGCGGAAGCUGUCGAUGGAUCACCUCCUUU
RNAcentral lists this ribosomal RNA (1460 nucleotides) under Candidatus Doudnaibacteriota bacterium. Its description in RNAcentral is "Candidatus Doudnabacteria bacterium bacterial SSU rRNA". It matches the Rfam family "Bacterial small subunit ribosomal RNA". The record is from RNAcentral. Lineage: Bacteria; Candidatus Doudnaibacteriota.